AAUGACGAGUUGAGCAGCAUUCACCUCUCAUCAGACCUUGAGCCAGCUCCCCAACCAAAUCAAAUACAUGGGUCUUCACUGUCAUCUGAUUUGAAAAGGGACAGUCAGGAUUUCCAGGAUGGCUUCUGCACAUAUCUGCAGUUAGCAUAUUCAGAGCAAGCUGAUGCUUUGGCUCGACAGAAAGAGGUUUCCUUCCAGCUGCCUGCUGUGCUGCAGGGACUGUCGUACGGGGGACCCGUGCUGCGCAUUCUCUCUGUGCCUGAUGACACCUUAAUCAUGAUCAGAGAAGAUGGAGCCAUUUAUUUCUGGUCCCUGCAGCUGAAGUUGAAAAGAAGAAAGCGAGUUUUUGACAAGCCCAUCAUUCGGAAGCGCCGGUGGGUGACGGAUGCCACCAGCAUGCCACAGUACAACAAACUGAUCCUAGGAACUGGGUGAGUGCCUGCAGCUCUUCAACUGGGAAGUGAAUAAUUGUUGGGCUGUGAAAUUCGUUUCCAUGUGUGGGUUUACACACACACACACACACACACACACACACACACACUUGUAGUAAUAGGAUAAAGUAUGAAGCCCUUUAAAGAAUAUACUAGAACUCAUACAUCCAUCAAAACUGCCAUGCAAAGCUAUCACUUUGAGGCAAUAAUAUUGUCCUUGCCUCAAACUGAUGGGGUCCUCUUUUGGAAUACUUCCAGAGUGAGAAAAAA
RNAcentral lists this long non-coding RNA (701 nucleotides) under Sus scrofa (pig). RNAcentral describes it as "lncRNA (ENSSSCG00045036540.1, ENSSSCG00070009329.1)". The record is from RNAcentral. Lineage: Eukaryota; Metazoa; Chordata; Mammalia; Artiodactyla; Suidae.